This 1935-nucleotide ribosomal RNA is filed under the name Triticum aestivum (bread wheat). Its description in RNAcentral is "partial small subunit ribosomal RNA". The record is from RNAcentral. Lineage: Eukaryota; Viridiplantae; Streptophyta; Magnoliopsida; Poales; Poaceae.
AUGGAGAACUUACAUCUGGAACCAAAGGAUCUGAAGUAUUCAUUAUUAGAAGAAGUUACGAAUGGAUUCUCCGAGGAGCACAAGGUUGGCACUGGUGGGUUCGGAGAAGUAUACAAGGGGGUGUUGGAUAACAGGCAAGAGAUCGCUGUGAAGAAGCUCCAUUACAUGCCAGGACUUAAUGAUGAGCAAUUCAAGCAUGAAUUUAAUAACCUCAUGAGGGUCCAACAUCAGAAUAUCAUCCGAUUAGUUGGCUACUGCUAUGAGAUACGCCAUAUACAUCAUGAACUCAAAGGAGAAUAUGUUUUUGCUAGAGUAGAAGAAAGAGCUCUCUGCUUCGAAUACUUGCGGGGUGGUAGCCUUGAUAGGCAUCUUUCUGAUGAAUUUUCUGGACUUGAUUGGCACACACGUUACAAAAUAAUUAAGGGAAUCUGUGAAGGAUUAAAUUACCUUCACAAGGGAUCGAAUGACCCUAUGUACCAUCUUGACUUGAAGCCUGCGAACAUAUUGUUAGAUGAGGAAAUGAUGCCAAAAAUAGGAGAUUUUGGUUUGUCAAGACUCUUUGCUUCAACAAAAACCUUUACCACAAAAAUACUUGCUGGAACACUGGCCUACAUGCCACCAGAGUACAUACAAAAGCGCCAAAUCUCCGAAAAGUAUGACAUAUUCAGCUUAGGUGUGAUAAUCAUAGAGAUAAUUGCGGGACCUCUGGGCCGUUUCAAAUAUGCAGAUAUGUCGUCUUCUGAAGAAUUUAUUCAGCAUGUAAACAAGAAUUGGAGGAAAAGGAUUGCUGAAGUAGAUUGUCGACAAGUCAAGAGAUGCAUCAAAAUAGCAGUAAAUUGUGUGGAUGCUGAUAAAGGCAAUAGGCCUACUAUAGAGGAUGUUAUCCAUGAACUGAAAGAAGGAGAAGAGCAGGACAAGUCCCAGGAGCCAGUAGUUACUAGGCUUGGGCCUUGGGGUGGAAAUGGAGGAAUGGCUUAUGACAUCACAGUAACACCCCACCGUCUGAAAAGUGUGACAAUUUACAGUGGCAUUAUAGUUGAUCAACUUAAGUUCUCAUAUACUGAUCAUAGUGGACAUCAGCGCAAUGUUGGUCAGUGGGGUGGUUCAAUGAGCGGUGAUGGGUAUACGAUUAAGCUUCAGCCAUCGGAGUUUCUGACGGAAAUGGCUGGAACAAUCGGCACAUUUUUCAGAACUCACUCCAACAAUGUUAUAACAUCGCUGGCACUGGUCACCAAUCAGGAUAGAUAUGGACCUUUCGGGCGCGGAGGAGGAAGUCGAUUCCGCGUCCCAAUGGAAAGAAAUUCCAACAUUGUUGGCUUCUUUGCGCGCGCAGGGAGCCAUCUCGAUGCAAUUGGCGUGUAUGUGAGUCGCAUCAGUCACACCACCGAUCAUGAUGGAGAGGAGGUGGUCUCUUGUCCAGGAGAAGAGCAGGAGGAGUCUCAGGAGCCCGUGGCUACUAAGCUUGGGCCUUGGGGAGGAAAUGGAGGAACGGCUUACGACAUCACAGUCGCACCCCACCGUCUGGAAAGCGUGACAGUUUACAGUGGCGUUAUAGUUGAUGUACUUGAGUUUUCAUAUACUGAUCAUAGUGGGCAUGAGCACAAUGUUGGUCCGUGGGGUGGCCCAUGGGAGGGCAAUGCUGGGCAUAAGAUUAAGCUUCGGCCGUCGGAAUUUGUGACAGAAAUUUCUGGAACAGUCGGCAGAUUCGGCAGAUCGUAUUCCAACGUUAUAACAUCGCUGACGAUGGUCACCAAUGAGGGUACAUAUGGACCUUUCGGGGAAGGGCGAGGAAGUCCGUUCCGCAACCGAGUGGAACGCAAUUCCAAAAUGGUUGGCUUCUUCGCGCGCGCGGGGAGAUAUCUUCAUGCAAUUGGCGUAUAUGUGAAACCCGUCCAUCACACCCCUGAUCAUGGUGGAGAGGAAGCGAUCUCUUGA